RNAcentral lists this ribosomal RNA (231 nucleotides) under uncultured bacterium. RNAcentral describes it as "partial 16S ribosomal RNA". It matches the Rfam family "Bacterial small subunit ribosomal RNA", at positions 99 to 334 of the family's 1533-position model. The record is from RNAcentral.
CGGACGGGUGAGUAAUGUCUGGGAAACUGCCUGAUGGAGGGGGGUAACUACUGGAAACGGUAGCUAUACCGCAUAACGUCGCAAGACCAAAGAGGGGGACCUUAGGGCCUCUUGCCAUCGGAUGUGCCCAGAUGGGAUUAGCUAGUAGGUGGGGUAACGGCUCACCUAGGCGACGAUCCCUAGCUGGUCUGAGAGGAUGACCAGCCACACUGGAACUGAGACACGGUCCAG